AAGUGCGCAGAGGCUUACCUACAUUUUGUGUAAGUGACUGAGGGAGCCUUUCUUAAGCACAAAUGGUGAUGGAAGGCCCUGUGUGGAGGAGGGGAGAGAAAAAUAGGGAGUGAGGCCUGGACCUAAAAUGGGAAAAAGACGCAGACAAAGGAGUCUUAGGGCCUGAGGCCAACCUUGACCUAAAGUGUCAUUUUGUCUCUGCUGCACACAGUCCUACUGGGUAUUCAGAGCCUUUUUGGUAAAUGUGGUUCUGCAAAUACUUGACGUCUGGAAAACUUUCAGCCAAGAUGGCGUUCGGAAGCCUGGCUCGCAGGCCCCAGGAUGACAACCUAAUUACGUUCCUUUUAAUAGCUCCUUCCCAAGUGCUCAGUCAGGGACAUCUGCUGUGCCGCGGUUGCACCUUCAGGGAGGAGUAUUUUUAUCACCGUGAUGCCACAAAAGGAAACUUCUGAAGGCUGGAUGAAAAUGGCCUCUGCAUUCCCAGAGCCUCAGGGCCCAGAUGCCCAGAGCCUCUGGAACAAGGAAGGAGGAGCACCCCACGGGCAAGAAAGAAAGAACGUCUGGGAGAAGCACUCCUUCCCGGAGAUGUUAGAGACCCAGUGUGAGACCUUCCUCAGAGGUGCUAUAUCUCCAGGGGAUCCUGGAGAGAGGAAUUCCCAAGCCAGAGGCUACACGUGACCCACAAGUGCUUGAGGGUUUGGUCAGGUCACGGUAACCUCAAGAGUUUUAAAAACAACACAUCAAUUUUUUUUUUUUUGUCUUUUUGCCUUUUUUGGGGCCGCACCCGCAGCUUAUGGAGGUUCCCAGGCUAGGAGUCUAAUCGGAGCUGUAGCUGCCGGCCUACACCACAGCCACAGCAGCGCAGGAUCCGAGCCACGUCUGCGACCUACACCACAGCUCACGGCAACGCCGGAUCCUUAACCCACUGAGCAAGGCCAGGGAUCAAACCCGCAACCUCAUGGUUCCUAGUGGGAUUCACUUCCGCUGUGCUGCGAUGGGAACUCCUCUACCUUGGUUUCCUACCAGCCCCACAAGGCUCUGGGAACUGAGUUGUCUCCUGUCCUUCCUUGUGAGGUCUUUGUAGCUGAGUCUUGUCCCUAGAAUACCAGUUGCUGCCUCCAAACUCCUUAAGCUGCAAGACUUCCUUCCACUUCUCCCUGUCCCAGAAGCUGACUGGCCCCUUAGGGCAGUCCUCGUCCUAUUGCCUG
This 1208-nucleotide long non-coding RNA is filed under the name Sus scrofa (pig). RNAcentral describes it as "lncRNA (ENSSSCG00050052206.1)". Lineage: Eukaryota; Metazoa; Chordata; Mammalia; Artiodactyla; Suidae. The record is from RNAcentral.